RNAcentral lists this ribosomal RNA (236 nucleotides) under uncultured bacterium. RNAcentral describes it as "partial 16S ribosomal RNA". It matches the Rfam family "Bacterial small subunit ribosomal RNA", at positions 118 to 347 of the family's 1533-position model. The record is from RNAcentral.
UGAGGAACAUGACCUUCGGCGGGGGAUAGCCGGCCCAACGGCCGGGUAAUACCGCGUACGACCACAUGGGGACAUCCCUGAGUGGUGAAAGCAGCAAUGCGCCGAUGGAGUGCCUCGCGGCCUAUCAGCUAGUUGGUGAGGUAACGGCUCACCAAGGCGACGACGGGUAGCUGGUCUGAGAGGAUGGCCAGCCACAUUGGGGACUGAGACCACGGCCCAGACCUGUACCGGGGAGG